Mya arenaria is the source of this 1083-nucleotide long non-coding RNA. RefSeq lists it as uncharacterized. Lineage: Eukaryota; Metazoa; Mollusca; Bivalvia; Myida; Myidae. The transcript has 3 exons. The record is from RefSeq and is a predicted model, not a curated record.
GAGUUACUUGCAUUUGAACUGAAUCUUAUGGACUUGCAUUUUGGUAUGUUAUUUGUCAACCAAGACAUUGUUUGCUUAUUGAAGUGCACACAUCCAGAAGAGCCGUUUUCCAGUUCAUUAAUGUGUCUCUGUAUUAGCUGCACAAACUGACCAGAAUUGGAGUCAGUUGCUGUAAAUAAUGCCUAUCAUAAAUCAAAGCACUGAAAGUGCUGAGGGACGGUGCCUCUGGUGUAUAUGCAGAAACAUAUACAGGGAGAGCUGCCUGGUUUCAAAAUCGUCGUUGUUAUCAACUAUUGACAGUUUGGUUAUUUCAAGAGCCAACUUUCGUCAUGCAUGACUAUUUUUUAUGAAUGCAUGUUAAGCAAGUGAUCACUUCGUACGAAGUUGCGUACAAAGAUUUCUGCGACCGUUUUAUUAACGCUUUCGUACGUAAUUACUCUUCAAAAGGGGGAAGAAUCAGACGAAAAUGUAAACAAACAGUAGAUGCAAUCUUUUGAAAGAAAAGCUCAGUCAUCUGAGAUGCAGUGUUGCAGCACUGAAAAGCAUUGGGUGCCCAUCAUAGAGUGUUUCUCUUUGCCUGCAAUCAGGAUACAUCAACUGACCUUUGAACUGUGUUUUCCAACUUGGGAUUCAAACACAUGCCCUCUUGGGUAGGAGAAAGUCAGACAAACACCUGUGGCUAUAUCACUAUACUUCUUCAAGUUUCGCUCUAUGAGUGAUCAUGAUGUGAAAUAAAACAAAAUGCAGUCAUCUUUUUGUCAUAUUAAAUAAGUUAUGAACAAAUAAAAUAUAUCAAACAUUUUAUUCAUUCGUUAUUUUGACAAACAGUAUGAAUAAACAUACAUGUAUACCAAUAGACAAACAAAUAAUUGGUAAAGAAUGGGCACAAAAAUAUGAGAAUAUUGAAGUUGGAGAUUUAUUGUUAAUAUUGAUUUUAAUGUGACAGAAUAUGCCCCAAUUUGCCAAAAAGCAUUGAAUAUCAAAUGACAAUUCUUGGAUUCUCAAAAUUCUGCCCAAAUGAGUAUAGAUCUGUGAGUUGCUGUUUGGUAUUUGUUCAUAAAAGUCAUGAUAUAUAAAUCAGUU